UUUGAAAUCUGGCAGUCUUUUUUUUCUUCUUUGGCUGUCCGAGUUGUAAUCUAGAGAAGUGCUUACCUGCGCUGGACCGUGUACAAGUCUCCUGGAAUGGAGCGUCGCAGAGGGUGAGAAUCCCGUCUUUGACACGGACUGCCAGCGUGCUGUGGUGUGCUCUCAAAGAGUCGAGUUGUUUGGGAAUGCAGCUCUAAACGGGUGGUAAACUCCAUCUAAAGCUAAAUAUUGGCGAGAGACCGAUAGCGAACAAGUACCGUGAGGGAAAGAUGAAAAGGACUUUGGAAAGAGAGUUAAACAGUAUGUGAAAUUGUUGAAAGGGAAACACUUGAAGUCAGUCGUGUCGGCUGGGGAUCAGCCUGGCUGUUUU
This 370-nucleotide ribosomal RNA is filed under the name Amanita brunneoprocera. Its description in RNAcentral is "partial large subunit ribosomal RNA". It matches the Rfam family "Eukaryotic large subunit ribosomal RNA", at positions 114 to 464 of the family's 3401-position model. The record is from RNAcentral. Lineage: Eukaryota; Fungi; Basidiomycota; Agaricomycetes; Agaricales; Amanitaceae.